RNAcentral lists this unclassified non-coding RNA (183 nucleotides) under uncultured Helicosporium. Its description in RNAcentral is "sequence contains ITS1". The record is from RNAcentral. Lineage: Eukaryota; Fungi; Ascomycota; Dothideomycetes; Tubeufiales; Tubeufiaceae.
CCGAGUACCGGGUCCUUUUGGGCCCUUACUCCCACCCUUUGUGUAUCUUACCUUUAUUUCUUGUUGCCUUGGCGGGUCUCUGGGGGGAGACCUCUGGGGGGCCUUCACGGCCCCGCCCGCCAGGGGGACAGCCCUUAAACUCUUGUUAACUGGGUCGUCUGAGAAAACAAAACAAAUGAAUUA